CCUUCAUCCAUUCCAAAAAUACUCCUGCUACAGCCAGAGAGAGCACACGCAGCACCCGAUGCAUCCACCUACAAACAGACCCAGUGCAUCUCUAACUGCUCCAUUUUUCCAAGACUGAAGGACGUCACAGAGACAGGAGAAAGACAAGAGAAAGAUGUUUCCUUUCACCUAAUUUUUCUCUGAAGAAAGAGUCAUUGAAGAUUUUUAUAGCCUCUCACAGGAACGAGAUGUGGGAAACGUAGUGGAUUCACACAGAUUUAACAUAAAUUCAAAGAAGAAUCUAUUGUUUAUUUUAACCAAAAAUACAAGCUAAAUUCUGUCUAAUUCUUUACUUUGAAGUUCUCGUAGUCCCAUGUAUAAACACGUACUCUAGCUCUUGAGUACUCAAUUGUCACUGAUGCACUGGCUAAUAUUGAAAAAUUAAUUUUUAUCUAUUCUUCCACUCAUCUCCAAAAGAGGUGUAGCAUGCACUUUUUAUUUACUCUGAGUCGUGUGAAAUCACUACUGCAUAUUUGUAAGCACUAUGAGAUGUUUAUAUACGUUCAAAAUAAAUUUGUGAAGCAGGAGAAUAGGUAAUACUUGAAUACCUGGCUAUCAUGCUGAGCCUUAAUAAGAUACUAUAGAGGAAGGAAUAUCUUCAUUCACUAACUAAAUAGGAUUCUUUAAUUAUCCUUCUAAGAAAAGAGAUGAAAGAGACUAAGAUUUUUCCUAACAAGUUCCAGAUUUUAUACCAGAUUUUUUGCUUAGAGUAAUAGACUACUAGGAGCAGCACAUUUGUAGGUCUGAUAGAAGUCACUGUACCAAUUCUUUCUGCUACGCUUGCCAACAUAGCCAACUUCUCUUUCUUUCAUUCCCUCCUUAUACAACAAAAAGAUCUUCUUUUUUAAGUUUAUGUUUUCAAUAUUGGACCAAAGAAGCUUUUUAUCUAUCAGUAAUCCUUAUCUAAACAAUUCUGCCAUUUCUUAGUAUUGUUACCUCAGCGAUGAGUUCAGCAAAGGAAAGACUGGGUAACUCUUGAGACAUGGAGGAGAAAUACAAGUUCCCAGCUUCUCUAAGAUUUUUUAGCUGCAACUGGAAACCAGUAGCACAGAAAACCUAGAAUUGCUUCUUUCUUUCAGAGAUAUCCAUAUUUUAACAGAACUAGAUGUAAAAAAAGCCUCCUCCAGGAUAAAUAAAUGUAUUGAUUCCAAUAAAGAUGUCCUGAAGUAUAUCUAAGUACACAUAUAUGAAAAAUAAAAAUGAGAUUAUAAAUUCACAUCAAGUUAUUUGAAUGGAGUUCUAGAGUCUGUAUAUUAAGACCCGUAUCAUUGCACACAUAAAACUCAUCCACUGCUCUCCUCAGGCAUUUUUAUCGUGGAAAAAGUGGGCUGGUGUAUCACCACAGCAAGAUGAAUUUCAGAGUUUAACAGCAGUGAGUCCCCAUCCACUUACCAGCAAUAAGAUAUUUAUGCUGCAAUUGCAAACUCUGAAUGCAAUAAAGAUGUCAUGAAGUACCACUGCGUGCACACCAUGAUCAGAACUUAAUGAAAUGGAGAGAGACGAGAAAUAAGCUUAUGGUUUGGGUUAUUUAUUUAUUUAUUUAAGGAAAUAUAGACCUUCCAUAAACAUUCCCCAGGCUGACAUUCAAGUACUUUGGGACCCAAAUUGCUACGACCUGCUAGAGGCAGAAUAAACCACCUGAAUAUUUAAAGACAAAG
RNAcentral lists this long non-coding RNA (1697 nucleotides) under Gallus gallus (chicken). RNAcentral's name for it is "lncRNA (ENSGALG00010012862.1)". The record is from RNAcentral. Lineage: Eukaryota; Metazoa; Chordata; Aves; Galliformes; Phasianidae.